AACGCACAUUGCGCCCCUUGGUAUUCCAUGGGGCAUGCCUGUUCGAGCGUCAUUUGUACCCUCAAGCUUUGCUUGGUGAUGGGUGUUUGUUCUGCUGCAACGCGUGAACUCGCCUCAAAUCAAUUGGCAGCCGGCAAUCUGGUGUUUGAGCGCAGCACAUUUUGCGCUCUUCGCUGUGUAUUGCGGGCGUCCAUGAAGCCUAUAUUUUCGCGCUUGACCUCGGAUCAGGUAGGGAUACCCGCUGAACUUAA
RNAcentral lists this unclassified non-coding RNA (251 nucleotides) under uncultured Pyrenochaeta. RNAcentral's name for it is "sequence contains ITS2". The record is from RNAcentral. Lineage: Eukaryota; Fungi; Ascomycota; Dothideomycetes; Pleosporales; Pleosporaceae.